RNAcentral lists this long non-coding RNA (1344 nucleotides) under Triticum aestivum (bread wheat). Its description in RNAcentral is "long non-coding RNA (TAES_LNC006915)". Lineage: Eukaryota; Viridiplantae; Streptophyta; Magnoliopsida; Poales; Poaceae. The record is from RNAcentral.
UUAAACGUGGCAAGCAAGCACCAAACAGCAAGGUGCCUGUGCAUUGUUACGGAGCAAUAAAACAUAUGCAUACAUGAAUUGAAUAUGCCUUCCUAUUUCACAAUUCCUUACAAAUUGAACAUCGUGAGUCCAAAAUUAAAACAAACAAAACCGGUAACUGAGAUGUGAUAAUAAUCCACAAGGGACAUGUCCAUAAUGCUUAACAAGCUACAUAUCUUCAACAAUUUGCUUAGAUGAUAUAAAGCGAUCUUCAUACUAUAAUGUUGCUCCUAAAUUUGAUUGAUAAUCCUGAAUUUUAGCCCUACCUUCUUCCUCAUUGAUUUAACCUGCUCAUUCUCAAAAUCAGACAAAGGAUAGUUGAAUGUAAAUGACUGAAACCAAGUUACAAGAAGACGAACAAAUUUAAAAUGCUCAGUUGCGUUCAGGUUGUAGCAUUCAACCUAAGCAAUGAUGCCAGCACGCGAAGCAAUCAAGUUGCUGAUCUAGAAAAGAAGUGAAAAGUUAACCUUUCAUGCCCCUGAUCUAGCAUGCAAAAUUGUUGCACAGGGGUCACCACCGGUAGCCAGAAGAAUUAUGUCAGCAGCCUCAUCAUCGUACUGCUCAUACAUGAGAUGUGAAAAGGUAUAGAAAUCCACAAAUUCUACUAAAAAAUCUGCAAGCACAAGCUUUUACAUGGCCAGUUACUCACUUGGAGGAAGACUGCACGAGCGAAGUCAAUGCCAAAAGAGAUGAUCACCUUGUACAGGUCCCUCUGCAACUAACUAAAAAUCUUGGAAAUAUCAUUUUUACCAGAAUUCUCAUGUACAACAGGAAGUCUCUAGUUCUUACCAGAAGGAACAUAACUGCCUUUUCAUUUCCCACUCAUGAUCGCAUAGCAGACACAGGCUCAACCAAGCUUUCUGAAAACUGCAGGAAGGAUGAGCAUAAUCAGCAAUUUCAGUCAGGCGAGCACAAAUGUAUACUUCAGUAGUAAACCACUGCCAAGAAAACAUAAUAAAUGCAUCAACCACAACCGAAUUUUGUAUUCACCAUUUUCUAUCUUCAAUUUUAAAAGAGAAUUCAUUGCCACAAUGGGAUGGGGCAUGCUUUCCUUUAACACUAUCUGACACUGCCGUACGAGAUUCUUUGGUACUAUAUAUUAAAAGACCAAUCUUAAAAUAAUAUAUGCAAAUAAAAAAGAACAAAACUAUGCAACAUGAUGUUCAAACUUCUGAACAAUAACAUUUACCAGUUCAUUUGGUCCAGAGGCCCCUCAACCAAAUGAAAACAAACAAAAUAAAUAAUUUGCACAGUGUCGUGUUCGGGAAACAUCGAGCAUGGACUCAUGUCGAGGAAAAUUAAAAG